GCAAUGAGGACUGUGAAUACGUUCUGAGGCGUAUUCUCCGUAGAGCUGUUAAUUAUGGAAGUGAAGUUCUGAAAGCACAAGAAGGAUUCUUCAAUAGCCUCGUAAACAUUGUUGUAAAGGUGAUGGGUGAUGUUUUCCCCAAACUGAAACAAUAGGAAGUGCACAUUAGUUUAUAAUUGCUGAAGAGAAAGCAAGUUUUGGCAAGACAUUACUUAAGAUGCAGCAUCUACCCCUUAUAUUGCAAUUGUCACGGUGAUGCUACAUUCACAAUCUCUUGGUGCAUAAUUUUCCCCAACUACUAGUCUACGCCGUUGCUGAAAAUACUCAAGGAAAAGAAGCACUUCAUUUAUUAAACACAUGGAUAGCAGACAAAGGAAGCGGAGAAGCCAUAUUCCAUCAAGAUC
Long non-coding RNA from Vitis vinifera (wine grape), 404 nucleotides. RefSeq lists it as uncharacterized. The transcript has 3 exons. The record is from RefSeq and is a predicted model, not a curated record. Lineage: Eukaryota; Viridiplantae; Streptophyta; Magnoliopsida; Vitales; Vitaceae.